GAUGAAGAACGCAGCGAAAUGCGAUACGUAGUGUGAAUUGCAGAAUUCAGUGAAUCAUCGAAUCUUUGAACGCACAUUGCACCUCUCGGUAUUCCGGGAGGUAUGCCUGUUCGAGCGUCAUUUGUACCCUCAAGCUCUGCUUGGUGUUGGGUGUUUGUUCCGCCUCUGUGUGUGAACUCGCCUCAAAACAAUUGGCAGCCGGCGUACUUGUUUCGGAGCGCAGCACAUUUUGCGAUCCAGAUCAACGUACAGCGGCAUCCAAGAAGCCUUAUUUAACGCUCUUGACCUCGGAUCAGGUAGGGAUACCCGCUGAACUUAAGCAUAUCAAUAAACGGAGGA
RNAcentral lists this unclassified non-coding RNA (339 nucleotides) under soil metagenome. RNAcentral's name for it is "partial contains 5.8S ribosomal RNA, internal transcribed spacer 2, and large subunit ribosomal RNA". The stretch from base 1 to 120 matches the Rfam family "5.8S ribosomal RNA", at positions 35 to 154 of the family's 154-position model. The record is from RNAcentral.